Molecule: long non-coding RNA, 1487 nt
Filed under: Gossypium barbadense (sea-island cotton)
Lineage: Eukaryota; Viridiplantae; Streptophyta; Magnoliopsida; Malvales; Malvaceae
Description: long non-coding RNA (GBAR_LNC021451)
Source: RNAcentral
GGAAAAUUAAAACACAUAAAGAUAAAGCAAAAUCUAGAAGCUUCAGUCAGACCCCUUAGUAGCCAAAGAACCAAAACGGCACAAACCCUCCCUUGCUUCACAUGAACUGAGUAAAUCAUUGGGUAAGGGAUUGAGGUUAACUUGCGAUAGAUCAGAAUGUCCUCAAUCCAAAAGCAAAUAAGGGGAAUGGGAUGUCUACAAUGGUUGAUGGAAACGGCGGUCAGAAUCUGUCAACUCUGUAGCUUUUAUCGAUGUGUCUUCAACCCAAAAGCAAUUCUCAAGCCUCUUCAUACCUUCCUUCGCGCAUGUGCAACUAUGUUUCCUUCACGUGCGAUGAACUCGAAUCGACAUGAUGAGAAAUUUCUUGCCAAUGCCUUCACAUCCCAAAUAAUCGAUCGAAUCUCUGUGUAGUCUUCCUCUGGUGAGAUGAUAUUUUUUAUGACAAUCUUUGAGUCACUUUCCAUGAUAAUUUCCAUGAACCCCAUUUCUGAUGCGAAUUGGAUUCCAUGGAGCAGUGCGGUCUCUUCUACCAUUGCCGUUGAUUUUACAAGGUUAUGGACUUGAAACCCAAAUCCCAUUAUAUGGCCUUAUUCUUUUCUUAUAAUAAAACCCGAUGUUGUUAUCUAUUUUGCAACCGAAAACCUAGCAUCAACUUUGACCUUUACCUAACUUGAUGGAGGGGGAUUCCAGCAUAUCAUUUCUCUAGGCCUGGGGUGUUGUCAGAGUUGACGAUAAAUCUCGAUGUUCUCUCCCAUAGCCUCUGAUGAAGGUAAUCACUUCUUCCACGCUCUGCUCUCUUUUCUCAUGUAACAAUUUGUUUCAAGAAAACCAGAGAGCCCAAAUUGUAAUAGUGAUUUAAUCUUUCUUGUUACUGGCCAAGUUUUCGAAGAGCCAGCUUAACCACUCAUUAAAACUUGAAUCUGCAACUAAAACUGGCAAUUGAUAGUUUAAUCUCAACCAUACUUGUUUAGCAAAUAUGCAAUCACAGGAAACAUGAACAUUUUGACUCACUAUAAUCACGACAACGCAAACAACGAUUAUCUGUUAUGUCUUUGAAUGCCCAUUUUUGUUUCUGCCCACAAUUGAAGGGAGUCGAAGAUAUCUUUUGAGAUUAAUGCUGGAGUUAACUCCCAAAAUUCUGCACACAUUUGCCCUAUUUUCCUAGCUUACGUUAGAACUGAAAAACAAACUCGAUUUGUCAAAAUUUAUUAAUUGCCCUGAGCCCCUUUAGAUGUGGCCUAGCUCUUUCCGUCGUGGCCUCUCCAAAAAUCAGACUACCAUCCACAAAAAGUAAGUGGUUGAUGAGCGGGGCAUGUCUAUUUACAUGAACCCCCUUAAGAUCACCAUUUGUGGAGGCCAUUUUUAAGAGAGUUGAUAGACCCUCACUACAGAUGAGAAAUAAGUAGGGGCUGAGUGGGUCACCUUGUCUAAGUCCACGGGUAGGAGUGAAUCUUUCGCGUCUCUCUCCAUUUACUACCAGAGAAUAA